UGGGCCCUAGGGAGGCCCAGCAGCAGCGCAGCCCGAAACGACCGGCCCGGGGCAACCAACCGGGGCACGAGGGUUUCCCCAGGCGCCGCCGCGGAGGUCGCCGCCGGGGCAGGACGAGGGCGGCGCGGCCAGGGCACGGCACGCCGGCCGGCCGGAGACAGGGAGGGAGCAGCCCCGAAGGAGGAAAUGAACGGGCGAAAGGGGGCUCUCCAGACAAGGAUGCCCGAGAGCGCGAGCGCCGCCGCCGGUGACUGGCCGGCCGGAGCAGAGGCGGAUGCCGCCAACGCGGGGGACCGCCAGGAGUCGAGCGCAGCACCGCGGUCGGCGCGGCCGGCAACGUCCCAGCCGCCAGCACGACGCUGCCGGGGAGGGGCCCGAGACCCCAAGGCGUCCCCUUUCGACCCAGGAGACGGCAGCGCGCCCGACGGCCGCCGGUGGCGCCGAUCGGUCCCGCGGGAGGCCGCUGGGAGUUCGGCCGCCGGCAGUGACGGAUGGAGGCGGCCGGACCGGAGCGCGGGGCGGGAUGCGGUCGCGGCAGGCGAUGGGGCGGCCCGCAGCCACAUCGGCAGCUUCGGCAAGGUCCGCCCAGGACUCGCGCGGAGGAACAGCCGGAGGAGACGGCGGGGAAUCGGGCGAGGGGGGCGCCGGCAGGCCGGCCGCGGGCGAGGCCAGGGGCGAGGGUGGCAGCGGCGGCGCCGCUGAGACGACCAGGGCGUCGCCAGAGCCAGCGCACGCGAGAGCCAUCCGCCAACGGGAGCGAAUCACAUGAGUUCAUUUCCAACAUCAUUUUCAACACCAUCUGGUAUGACUCUGUAAUCUCCACGCAGCAUGAGUAUGCGCUUGACUUUGAGGUGGACAUGAUAUGCACCAAUGCCCUUAUGCGAAUAGAGUGCUGCUCCCUCUAUGGCCUUAUCGCCUUCCUCCGUCGCCUCUUCCACCAUCUGACUGAGCAUGAUGCUAUCAAGUUCCUGCUCAAGAGCAAUGCUGAUGUUUGGUCAGCCAUCGACAUAGCAGAGCAACAUGGUCAUCAUAUGUCUGAUGUGUACCUCAAUGCCUUUAGGGAAGCAGCUGUUAAUUCAUGGCACCCUCACCCUAAAGCACUGGAGAAAUUCAUCCUGUCAGCCCUGAACAUGAAUUCGACUGAGUUGUCAACAAUGCUGACCCAUGCAGUCAAGAACUGCAGAUUUGAGGGACUCACCAUGUCUUUGUCACCCAAAUCUUCACCUACCAAGUCAGAUGAGCAGGUUCAACAACUGGAAAAGUUGGCCUCAAGCUCGGAGUUCUUAUCUGAAAACCAAAAAAUGUUCAUUUCAGAGAUUCAGAAAUUUUUUAAGGCUGACCAAAACUUCUAUGUCAGGAAGGUCAAAGCUGCGUUGAAGAGCUACUCCCAGAAACAAGGGGUCCAACAGCCCAAGCGUGUUUGGAUGGAAAUCCUGGGACCGUGCCUAUCCAUGGCGGCGACAAAGACGGCGGCCAGAUCUGGACUGCUCCCUGCUACGAGGAAGGAAGUGCCGCCGCUCCGUCUCCGGGUGGUGGCUGCUUUCAGUCCAGAGGAAGAAGGAAGGGUCGCUGCGGUUGCUCCCGGCGUCUUAGUUGAAAAGGCAAAUAACCUACCCCCUCUCCAAAUUUUCUUCUUCGAGUAAUCACUUUUCCAAUUUUUUAGGAUGCAAUUGCUUCAUGUACACAGCCUAUUUUGUGAUUGAUUAGUGAGAGUGCCUGGUAGCUUCAUGUACCGUGACCUAUUUUGCUUCUCCGUCGCGUGAUUGUCGCCACUUCUUUCUCUAAAUGCGAGGUCGUUUAUUCUUUAGAGGAAAUAGUCAAACAGAUGCGGUGUUGGGGCGGUGCUGAUCAAUGAGGAGCUACAUGGUGUGAGACACGCAGCACACACAUGUCCUGCAAGUGGCCGGACCUAUGCGUAUCGGUCGACAAUGGUGAGAUCAAACUGGUGUUAUGGAACUCUGUCCAGCAAACAACGUAUUUUCUCUUCGCAUGGCCUUUCCUCUGCCAGUCUGAAUCUGAAUUAUGUCUUUCUAUUUUACAAUGUGUUGGAAGUGUUUGAUGAAUUGUUAAGUUGCCAAUAGUUGAAUUCAUAUAGAAGAGUCUUACUAACGAAUUUGUUAAGUCUUUCAUGUACUGUGUUUCAAAACUGCAUUUGUAUUCACUAAGGACAUUCAUGUUUUCAACCAGCACUAGCGCUUUAGUUGUAUGACGUACGGUUUGUAACUAAACUGCAUACUGAUUGCACCUGGACAGUCGAAGUAUAACACAAUUUCAAGUUUCAAAUUGUGUCUUUCUUCUAAGAUUGUCACUACUUCUUUCUCUAAAUGCGAGGUCGUUUAUUCUUUAGAGGAAAUAGUCAAACAGAUGCGGUGUUGGGGCGGUGCCGAUCAAUGAGGAGCUACAUUGUGAGACAAGCAGCACACAUAUGUCCUGCAAGUGGCCGGACCUAGGCGUAUCGGUCGACAAUGGUACUUCACUAGAGAGGAGCGAUCUGCAAGAGUUGGCUGCUAUGUAUAUAUAUGUUACGGGCCAGCGCACAGAUUUUUUGCCGUCGAGAUCAACUUCCUACACACAAGUGAAUUACUUCUGGAGUUCAAUUGUUACUACAUUGAAGAGAAAUACGAUAGCAUCUAAUAAUCCACUAAGGUUGCUAGGCAAAACCAUGACAGCUACAAGAUGAAUUUUAAGCUCUAUAAAAAGAAUAUAUCAGAAGUGCAUGGAUCCUAUUCUUUACCUUUUUUAUUUGGCAUGUGGAGUUACCGACUUCAUAUUCUAUGUGGAUAUAAGGAUGGAUUUACUUGGGUCAGGCACACUUUGUUGUGGGGUUACGGCUACAAGGGGAUGCUUCAUCAGAGAUCAGGGUUGUUGGUACAAAAUAUGAGGUGACUAUUGGAAAUUUAUUCAGAUCAUUGUAACAGAAACUCAUCAAUUCCCUGCUAUUGAUUAUUUUCCGAAUUGGAGUAUGUGCCUAAUCACUGUUUUGUCUUUGUACCAUUAGAGCUUUACAGCCAUUUUAUUGGGGAUAAAAUGAAGUGAUAAACCUACAGUACUUGAAAAUAUUAUUUCCUUUGUGGAGAACAGACAAAAUGGGGAAAGGCCAUGGCAGCCACUGAAUUUUUUGCCAACUACUAGCUGUAAUCUGAGGAAUGUACCGCUUUUGUGAAAACUUCAUCUUAGAUAUAUGAAAGAAUAUUUCUCUAUAUGUAUAUUUCAGGUGGAAACCUGCAACUUUUAGGCCUAAUAUAUACUUUUCUUAAUGAAAGUUUGAUCGAACUAGGAACAACUAAUUAAUCAUGUUCUCUGCAUACGUGUGUCAUUCAUUAUAUACGUAUAUUAUACAUAUCUAAUGCAAUAUAAGAAAUCUUUAGAAUCUUGACAAGAACUUUGUUCCAGAAAGGACUAUGCUUCUUUCUCCUAUAUCUUAUAGGUUGAUUUUGUCAACUACGUAAAUUAAAUCUUCAUGCCCUAUGCCUCGGGUUUUAUGCUGUUCUAUCCAUUUCGAGAAAAUCUGUGGAAAUCCUAAUGUUCAGACCUAGCUAUGACAAAUAGUUCAUGUACUACUAUUUCCGUAGUCAUACUUCCCUAAGAGGACACAAAUCUAUACUCUGCCAAAUUGUAAUAAUCCUCAUAAGCGUACGACACUAUAUGUCAUCUUUGCAUAUUCAUUAUAAUACGUCUUUAAUAAUUUAUUUUUUUGUCAUUACCACAACUAGAGGUUGCUUAGCUUCUCCAACAUACUAUUUUCGAUGUGAUCAAACAUUUCAUGCCGUACAUGCCAUCUAAUGUAACUUCAUACAACAUGUUUUGCUUCUUCAGCACCCAUCUGCUCUUGCUGUUUGUGGAAUGGAAUUGUAUUUGGUUCAAAAUAAGAAAUUAUCACAUGUGAGAAGAAUAGUGCAGAGCAAAUAAAAUCACACUACCUUUUGCUUGAUGGUUCACCGUUAUAACUAAAUAUGACAAGGCAAAACUAUACACAUAUUUGUUUUUGUUUUGUAAGUACAAUUGUACGUGUUAUAUCUCACAUUAAUAUAUCUGUACAUGGAUUUCAUUUAUGGCUAUAUGUAUUUGUAGUGAUCGUAGAAGAAAUCAAAAGCCUUGAGGUUGUGAUGGUUUUAAAUAAUAUUCAUAUAUUUACAUAUUGUUAAUUAUAAAUUUGAAAACAUAUCUGCAGGAGCAAAGUGGUAAUAAGUUCUAACACUUAUGAAAAUUAUUUGUUUAUCGGCCAAUACUUAACUUUUAGUAUUGUAUUUUAGGAUCCAAAUUUUCAUAUAUUUCUAUCAACGUCAAAUCAGUAAGUUGUCAAGUUGUAGUUUGUCAUAAAUACUAAAGUGUAACAGCUAUUUCUGUCAAUUUGUGCAUAGUACAAUGUAAUUCAAAGGUCACCAAGUUACGCUAUAUAAUGUCGGUAAUAAGGAACUUCGUGAAAGACUAUAGUCAUUUUGUCCCAUGGAAAGUACUUGAUAACUUAAUAUGUCUCUAUAAUAAAUGUUUGAAUAUAUUUUCCUAUAUUCUUACGUAAAAACAUUUGUAAAAAGGAACAUACUUGAAGUGUAACUAUUAUGCAUCUUUUUUAAUGCUCCCUUCUCCUGUCUUGCUCUAUAUUGGUGCACUAUGAACUUCAAGUUAUUUGUGGUGUGAAUCCUCAGUGCGGUCAAGGGUGGAACUGCUGAUCUUUUUAAGAAAAAGGGCAAAUUUGAAUACUCUCUCAUCACCUUUUGGGCAACACGUGAGGGAUCAAAUUCUGCUGCCACAGAUCCAGUACUGUUCUUCGCUGAAUGCAGCAAUGAUGAUGAAGAUGACAAGGAAACACCUCCCCUGUGCGUCCCAGUAUUUAGUUCUUGGAUAUCUGAUGUUCGUUGCUUCCACUGUGAGUUUCUAGGGAAAAAAAUUGUUCACCCAUAUCAUGAAUCAUAUUAUGGGCGUUACGAGGACUUUGUUGGAAUGGCUCAUGGAGACCAUAGCAUUUGUAAUGAAGAAAUUAUCAGUGCAUGCGACUUCCAUGCUGAUAUGAUGUGCACAUUAAAAGAGGAUUGGAUCUUUUUUUAUCCCAACAUGGAUGCUAUGAUUGCUCGAGCGAAUCCCAUUAAGAAUUGGGCUACGGAGAUGCUGAAAUGGGAGAACAGAAUCUUUUGACAGUCAUGCUCGAUCUUUUUUUUUCUGAGAUAGAUCAGAUGGACUCUUGAAAUUGAGAUUCUUGAAGAGCUUUCCUGGGAGCACGCGUACAAGCUUAGUUAACAUUUGCUCGAACUGUUUAUUAUAUUCUUCCGUUGAAGUGUAUCUCAACUUCUUAAGUGUGGUGUUAGUUUGUCAACCAUGAUGCAAAUUAUCCUUGAUGCUACUCGAGUAUGUGGAUAUCUAAUGUCAGGUUUCCAUGUGGGCACUUCAUCACAAAGCUAUACAGAACAACAACAAUUUACA
This is an RNA transcript of Triticum aestivum (bread wheat), 5418 nucleotides long. RefSeq lists it as uncharacterized. NCBI's taxonomy places the organism in Eukaryota, Viridiplantae, Streptophyta, Magnoliopsida, Poales, Poaceae. The record is from RefSeq and is a predicted model, not a curated record. The transcript has 7 exons.